GUGGGGAAUUUUGCGCAAUGGGCGAAAGCCUGACGCAGCAACGCCGCGUGAGUGAUGAAGGCUCUUGGGUCGUAAAGCUCUGACAGAGGGAAAGAAGUGCAUGGUGGCUAAUAUCCACUGUGCUUGACGGUACCCUCAAAGGAAGCACCGGCUAACUCCGUGCCAGCAGCCGCGGUAAUACGGAGGGUGCGAGCGUUGUUCGGAUUUAUUGGGCGUAAAGCGCGUGUAGGCGGUUUAUUAAGUCUGAUGUGAAAGCCCCGGGCUCAACCUGGGAAGUGCAUUGGAUACUGGUAGACUUGAAUACGGGAGAGGGCAGUGGAAUUCCUGGUGUAGGAGUGAAAUCCGUAGAUAUCAGGAGGAACACCGGUGGCGAAGGCGGCUGCCUGGACCGAUAUUGACGCUGAGACGCGAAAGCGUGGGUAGCAAACAGGAUUAGAUACCCUAGUAGUCC
RNAcentral lists this ribosomal RNA (451 nucleotides) under uncultured bacterium. RNAcentral describes it as "bacterial SSU rRNA". It matches the Rfam family "Bacterial small subunit ribosomal RNA", at positions 354 to 796 of the family's 1533-position model. The record is from RNAcentral.